CAGCCGCCGCGGGAACACGGAGGGCGCGAGCGUUACCCGGAUUUACUGGGCGUAAAGGGCGUGUAGGCGGCCUGGGGCGUCCCAUGUGAAAGGCCACGGCUCAACCGUGGAGGAGCGUGGGAUACGCUCAGGCUAGAGGGUGGGAGAGGGUGGUGGAAUUCCCGGAGUAGCGGUGAAAUGCGCAGAUACCGGGAGGAACGCCGAUGGCGAAGGCAGCCACCUGGUCCACUUCUGACGCUGAGGCGCGAAAGCGUGGGGAGCAAACCGGAUUAGAUACCCCAGUAGUCCCUGUCUCUUAUAC
Molecule: ribosomal RNA, 301 nt
Filed under: uncultured bacterium
Lineage: Bacteria
Description: partial 16S ribosomal RNA
Rfam family: Bacterial small subunit ribosomal RNA
Source: RNAcentral